Molecule: long non-coding RNA, 331 nt
Organism: Panicum virgatum (switchgrass)
Lineage: Eukaryota; Viridiplantae; Streptophyta; Magnoliopsida; Poales; Poaceae
Exons: 2
Source: RefSeq, a predicted model, not a curated record
CAUGCAGCUAUCUGAGACUGCAAUCAAUUUUGCUAAGUGCAGACAUUUCUUGAUGGGAUUGCUACAGACCACUAUGUGAUGACAGGUUCUUUUCCCACUGUGUGCAGGCAGAUAUGCACUAAGUGCAGCUAAUGCUCUUCCCCGAAGCAAAGCAAGGCAGAUGCAAGAGUUAAACAAAAUUCAGGUAUGCAAAUAAUUAAACUGAGAUGGAUACAAUACUGGAGGAACUUUUUGCUGCUGCUAAAGUUUUGCUGCUGUACUGGUGGUUUUUGUUGUUUCUAGUGUGUGGUCAAAGAAUGCUGAUAUCUAACUAUUAUUCUUUCUGGUGCUA